UAAAUCUCUUUUAUCAGAUAAUGCUGCCC
Molecule: non-coding RNA, 29 nt
Filed under: Mus musculus (house mouse)
Lineage: Eukaryota; Metazoa; Chordata; Mammalia; Rodentia; Muridae
Source: RNAcentral